AUUGAACGCUGGCGGCAUGCCUUACACAUGCAAGUCGAACGGCAGCGGGGACUUCGGUCCGCCGGCGAGUGGCGAACGGGUGUGUAAUGUAUCGGAACGUACCAUUGAGUGGGGGAUAACGUAGCGAAAGUUACGCUAAUACUGCAUAUUCUCUCCGGAGGAAAGCUGGGACCGCAAGGCCUUGCGCUCUUUGAGCGGCCGAUAUCAGAUUAGCUAGUUGGUGAGGUAAAGGCUCACCAAGGCGACGAUCUGUAGCGGGUCUGAGAGGAUGAUCCGCCACACUGGAACUGAGACACGAUCCAGACUCCUACGGGAGGCAGUAGUGGGGAAUUUUGGACAAUGGGGGCAACCCUGAUCCAGCCAUGCCGCGUGAGUGAAGAAGGCCUUCGGGUUGUAAAGCUCUUUCGGCCGGGAAAAAAUCGCAUGGGCUAAUACCCUGUGUGGAUGAUGGUACCGGAAUAAGAAGCACCGGCUAACUACGUGCCAGCCGCCGCCGUAA
RNAcentral lists this ribosomal RNA (499 nucleotides) under uncultured bacterium. Its description in RNAcentral is "partial 16S ribosomal RNA". It matches the Rfam family "Bacterial small subunit ribosomal RNA", at positions 30 to 523 of the family's 1533-position model. The record is from RNAcentral.